Non-coding RNA from Caenorhabditis elegans, 142 nucleotides. NCBI's taxonomy places the organism in Eukaryota, Metazoa, Nematoda, Chromadorea, Rhabditida, Rhabditidae. The record is from Ensembl.
UUCAUGAAAUUUUUUAUUGGUUUCUUUUUUUUGCAGAAUGAUAGUGAGUAAAAGACGCAAUAAACGAAAAGAGAUAAAUGGCAAGUGAUUGGAAGAAGAGGGCGCGUCGCUAAUUUAUGGAUCGAGAGAAGAGAAAGUCAAA